This is a long non-coding RNA of Oncorhynchus keta (chum salmon), 366 nucleotides long. RefSeq lists it as uncharacterized. The record is from RefSeq and is a predicted model, not a curated record. The transcript has 3 exons. NCBI's taxonomy places the organism in Eukaryota, Metazoa, Chordata, Actinopteri, Salmoniformes, Salmonidae.
GGCAGACCGGGAGGUGGUGGGAAUAUGGUGUUGGUGAACAACCUGCCACUACCUGGCAGACUGGGAGGUGGUGGGAAUAUGGUGUUGGUGAACAACCUGCCACUACCUGGCAGACUGGGAGGUGGUGGGAAUAUGGUGUUGGUGAACAACCUGCCACUACCUGGCAGACUGGGAGGUGGUGGGAAUAUGGUGUUGGUGAACAACCUGCCACUACCUGGCAGACUGGGAGGUGGUGGGAAUAUGGUGUUGGUGAACAACCUGCCACUACCUGGCAGACUGGGAGGUGGUGGGAAUAUGGUGUUGGUGAACAACCUGCCACUACCUGGCAGACUGGGAGGUGGUGGGAAUAUGGUGUUGGUGAACAAC